This 254-nucleotide ribosomal RNA is filed under the name uncultured bacterium. Its description in RNAcentral is "partial 16S ribosomal RNA". It matches the Rfam family "Bacterial small subunit ribosomal RNA", at positions 524 to 776 of the family's 1533-position model. The record is from RNAcentral.
UACGGGGGGGGCGAGCGUUGUUCGGAAUCACUGGGCGUAAAGGGCGCGUAGGCGGCCCGCACAAGUCUGCGGUGAAAACCCCCGGCUUAACCGGGGGCCGGCCGUGGAAACUGUCGGGCUAGAGGCCGGGAGAGGGCAGCGGAAUUCCCGGUGUAGCGGUGAAAUGCGUAGAGAUCGGGAGGAACACCGGCGGCGAAGGCGGCUGCCUGGACCGGCCCUGACGCUGAGGUGCGAAAGCGUGGGGAGCAAACAGG